AUUGAACGCUGGCGGCAUGCCUUACACAUGCAAGUCGAACGGUAACAGGUCUUCGGAUGCUGACGAGUGGCGAACGGGUGAGUAAUACAUCGGAACGUGCCUAGUAGUGGGGGAUAACUACUCGAAAGAGUGGCUAAUACCGCAUGAGAUCUACGGAUGAAAGCAGGGGAUCGCAAGACCUUGUGUUACUAGAGCGGCCGAUGGCAGAUUAGGUAGUUGGUGGAUAAAAGCUUACCAAGCCGACGAUCUGUAGCUGGUCUGAGAGGACGAUCAGCCACACUGGGACUGAGACACGGCCUAGACUCCUACGGGAGGCAGCAGUGGGGAAUUUUGGACAAUGGGCGCAAGCCUGAUCCAGCAAUGCCGCGUGCAGGAUGAAGGCCUUCGGGUUGUAAACUGCUUUUGUACGGAACGAAAAGCCCCGGGUUAAUACCCUGGGGUCAUGACGGUACCGUAAGAAUAAGCACCGGCUAACUACGUGCCAGCAGCCGCCGCCG
RNAcentral lists this ribosomal RNA (497 nucleotides) under uncultured bacterium. Its description in RNAcentral is "partial 16S ribosomal RNA". It matches the Rfam family "Bacterial small subunit ribosomal RNA", at positions 30 to 523 of the family's 1533-position model. The record is from RNAcentral.